ACAAACGCUGGCGGCGUGCCUGAUACAUGCAAGUCGAACGGGUGCUUAGCUUCGGCUAAGUACUAGUGGCGCACGGGUGAGUAACGCGUGGGUAAUCUGCCUUAGAGCGGGGGAUAACCAGUCGAAAGAUUGGCUAAUACCCCAUAAGACCACAGGAUCUGCGGAUCUCGAGGUAAAAGGUUUUUCGCUUUAAGAUGAGCCCGCGUGAGAUUAGCUAGUUGGUGAGGUAAUGGCUCACCAAGGCGACGAUCUCUAGCUGGUCUGAGAGGAUGAUCAGCCACACUGGAACUGAGACACGGUCCAGACUCCUACGGGAGGCAGCAGUAGGGAAUAUUGCACAAUGGAGGAAACUCUGAUGCAGCGACGCCGCGUGAGUGAUGAAGGCCUUCGGGUUGUAAAGCUCUGUCGUACGGGAAUAAGAAAGUGAAUGUACCGUGCAAGAAAGGGUCGGCUAACUUCGU
This 461-nucleotide ribosomal RNA is filed under the name uncultured bacterium. RNAcentral's name for it is "bacterial SSU rRNA". It matches the Rfam family "Bacterial small subunit ribosomal RNA", at positions 29 to 506 of the family's 1533-position model. The record is from RNAcentral.